RNAcentral lists this ribosomal RNA (441 nucleotides) under uncultured Idiomarina sp. RNAcentral describes it as "bacterial SSU rRNA". It matches the Rfam family "Bacterial small subunit ribosomal RNA", at positions 355 to 794 of the family's 1533-position model. Lineage: Bacteria; Pseudomonadati; Pseudomonadota; Gammaproteobacteria; Alteromonadales; Idiomarinaceae. The record is from RNAcentral.
UGAGGAAUAUUGGGCAAUGGGUGAGAGCCUGACCCAGCCAUGCCGCGUGCAGGAAGAAGGCGUUCUGCGUUGUAAACCGCUUUUGAUCGGGAAGAAAGUGUCUUUGCGAAGACAGUUGACGGUACCGAUAGAAUAAGCACCGGCUAACUCCGUGCCAGCAGCCGCGGUAAUACGGAGGGUGCAAGCGUUGUCCGGAUUUAUUGGGUUUAAAGGGUGCGUAGGCGGCCUUAUAAGUCAGCGGUGAAAGUUUUUGGCUUAACCAAAAAAUUGCCAUUGAUACUGUAGGGCUUGAAUAUUUGUGAAGUAACUAGAAUAUGUAGUGUAGCGGUGAAAUGCUUAGAUAUUACAUGGAAUACCAAUUGCGAAGGCAGGUUACUAACAAAUGAUUGACGCUGAUGGACGAAAGCGUGGGUAGCGAACAGGAUUAGAUACCCUGGUAGA